UUUAUGGAGAGUUUGAUCCUGGCUCAGAGUGAACGCUGGCGGCGUGCCUAAUACAUGCAAGUCGAACGAUGAAGCUUCUAGCUUGCUAGAAGUGGAUUAGUGGCGCACGGGUGAGUAAGGUAUAGUUAAUCUGCCCUACACAAGAGGACAACAGUUGGAAACGACUGCUAAUACUCUAUACUCCUGCUUAA
This 191-nucleotide ribosomal RNA is filed under the name Campylobacter jejuni. RNAcentral's name for it is "partial 16S ribosomal RNA". It matches the Rfam family "Bacterial small subunit ribosomal RNA", at positions 1 to 186 of the family's 1533-position model. Lineage: Bacteria; Pseudomonadati; Campylobacterota; Epsilonproteobacteria; Campylobacterales; Campylobacteraceae. The record is from RNAcentral.